GAUGAACGCUGGCGGCGUGCCUAAUACAUGCAAGUAGAACGCUGAAGCAGUAGCUUGCUCUUCUGGAUGAGUUGCGAACGGGUGAGUAACGCGUAGGUAACCUGCCUGGUAUCGUGGGAUAACUAUUGGAAACGAUAGCUAAUACCGCAUGACAACAGUUAUUGCAUGAUAACUGUUUAAAAGGGGCAACUGCUCCACUUCCAGAUGGACCUGCGUUGUUUUAGCUAGUUGGGGAGGUAACGGCACACCAAGGCGACGAUACAUAGCCGGCCUGAGAGGGGGAUCGGCCACCAUGGGACUGAGACAAGGCCCAGACUCCCAAGGGAAGGAGCAGUAGGGAAACUUUGGCAAUGGACGGAAGUCUGACCGAACAAAGCCGCGUUGGGGAAGAAGGGUUUCGGAGCGUAAAGGUCUGUUUUAAGAGAAGAAAGAGUGUGAGAGUGGAAAGUUCACGCUGUGACGGUAUCUUAACAGAAAGGGACGGCUAACUACGUG
RNAcentral lists this ribosomal RNA (495 nucleotides) under uncultured bacterium. Its description in RNAcentral is "partial 16S ribosomal RNA". It matches the Rfam family "Bacterial small subunit ribosomal RNA", at positions 28 to 507 of the family's 1533-position model. The record is from RNAcentral.